GGUAGCCGGAUGCGGGAAUUCCGCACGUCCGGAUCUGUGCGGGGGCGCUCAGUAAUGAGCGUCCCUACCGCGAA
Molecule: non-coding RNA, 74 nt
Filed under: Rhizobium mongolense USDA 1844
Lineage: Bacteria; Pseudomonadati; Pseudomonadota; Alphaproteobacteria; Hyphomicrobiales; Rhizobiaceae
Source: RNAcentral